RNAcentral lists this long non-coding RNA (1317 nucleotides) under Taeniopygia guttata (zebra finch). Its description in RNAcentral is "lncRNA (ENSTGUG00000020858.1)". The record is from RNAcentral. Lineage: Eukaryota; Metazoa; Chordata; Aves; Passeriformes; Estrildidae.
AGGGAAGGGGAGGGGCUAAAGAGAAGGGGAGGGUCUACAGGGAGGGGGAGGGGUCUCUGUGGGAUUUGGGGUCCCUUUGGGGGCCCCACCCCCACCGCCCCUCCCCCUUCCAGGCCCCCCCCCGGAGGCUGUUCCCGCCGGCGCCGCCCCGCCCCCCCCGGAGCUGGAGCCCCCCCCGGGCCCCCCCGAGCCGCCCCCCCCGGCCCCUCCCCCUACAAGGGGCCCCCCCCCGCCCCCCAAAAACGCCCCGAGGGCGCCGCCCCUCCCCCUCCCCGCCGGAAACGGGCCGAGAGCGCUGAGGGUGGGGGAGGGGCCCGGCCCGCCCCCGCCCCUCCCCCCACCCCUCCAAAAACCCAAAUCCCCCCCCAAAACCCAGCAGGUGGGGGAGGGGCGGGGGGUGGGGGAGGGGUGGUGGCCAGCCUGGUGCUGGGGGGGGGGAGGGGGCGGCGGGGGGGGGCCGGGUCCUCCCCCUCCCCCCCCCUCGGUGGCGCUGCUGCCCCACCCCCACCCCCACCCCCCCGUGCAGCUCCUGGCGCAGCCCCCGGGCGGGGGAGGGGCAGCGGCGGGUGGGGGAGGGGCAGGGGCAGGGGGGGGGCACGGCCCCUCCCCCGCCCCCCAACGGGCCCCUCCCCCUCGGCAUCACGCAGGUGCAGUACAUCCUGCCCACCCUGCCCCUCCCCCACGGCAAAGGCCCCGCCCCCGGCCCCGCCCCCAGCCAGGGCCCCGCCCCCGGCCCCGCCCCCUCCCUGCACUUCGCCCUGCCCCCGCCCCAGAACGGGAAAGCCCCGCCCACAACGGCGGGGGGGGCCGGAGGCUCCGCCCCCAAAGGUACGGCGGGUGGGGGAGGGGCUUGGGGUGGGGGCGGGGCUCUGGGGGGUGGGGCGGGGCCUCAAAUGGGGGGAGGGGCCUCAAAAUGGGGGAGGGGUCUGUGGUUGUGGGCGUGGUCUGAGGUUGGAGGCGGGGUCACAAAUGGGGCGGGGUCUCAAAUUGGGGGUGUGGUCUCAAAUUGGGGGAGGGGCCUCAGAUUGGGGGAGGGGUCUCAGAUGGGGCGGGGCCUCAAAUUGGGGGCGGGGUCUGUGGUUAUGGGCGUGGUCUGAGGUUGAGGCGGGGUCACAAAUGGGGCGGGGUCUCAAGCAUGGGGCGGAGCCUGAUGUUUGGGGCGGGGUCUUUUUGAGUGGGCGGAGUUUCAGAUUGGGGGCGGGGCCUCAGAUUGGGGCGGGGACUAUUGGGGGCAGAGCCUUGAUUUGGGGCGGAGCUUUUGGGAUGGGGCGGGGCUUCAAAUUGUGGGUGUGGUCUAACAUUGUGGGCGGGGUUUAA